Molecule: transfer RNA, 76 nt
Filed under: Rickettsiales bacterium
Lineage: Bacteria; Pseudomonadati; Pseudomonadota; Alphaproteobacteria; Rickettsiales
Description: tRNA-Ala
Rfam family: tRNA
About the family: Transfer RNA (tRNA) molecules are approximately 80 nucleotides in length.
Source: RNAcentral
GGGGAUGUAGCUCAUCUGGGAGAGCGCUACAAUGGCAUUGUAGAGGUAGAGGGUUCGAUCCCCUUCAUCUCCACCA